RNAcentral lists this long non-coding RNA (1001 nucleotides) under Chinchilla lanigera (long-tailed chinchilla). Its description in RNAcentral is "lncRNA (ENSCLAG00000025775.1)". The record is from RNAcentral. Lineage: Eukaryota; Metazoa; Chordata; Mammalia; Rodentia; Chinchillidae.
UAUUUAGAUCUCAUUCUGUAGAGAACAGCUCUCUUUGGCUACCCAUUCAGGGCUCCCAGAAUCAUACAUAGCUACAGUUUUCAGUUGAGAUGUGCUUUGUGACAAUGCUAGCAUAACUUAUUCUACUCCAGACUUUAGAUUGACACCAAUCUAAAAAAUGGAGAAAAUUUUUUAGAGAAAAUUUGGAGAAAAAAAUGGAGAAUAACUAAAUUCACACUAACAAAUGAGCUAUAUGCAGCUUACUGUAAUCAACUUAAGCAUAAUUUCAUGAAACAAACUAUAGAUUUUAUGCUGUGUGUUUCAACCAUUGUUAUCCUUUUUUUUUUUUACUAACUUGGAAAAACCAUGAGCAAUGUGGGGCUCAAAAAGGAUUGUCUCUAUUUUGAUAUAGUUUACAUCUUCUUUCUCUGCCAGCAUUCUGAAUCUGACACUCUUCUAUGACUGAUGCAGUCUGCAUUUGGAUGUUAUAUAGUAAUGUCACUUGUCCUUGAAGAAUACAUCCCAAAACUUCCAAGGGAUGCUUGAAAUUACAGAGCCCAUCAAGGACCUAGUGGUGGGAACAGGUAUUCCUUCAGUUCCCAAGGACUCUGCUGAUUCUACUGGGCCUCCAGUGCAACACCAAAGAUAUUACUCUGCUGGUCAGUAAUUUACAGCCAGGGAGACUGAAAUGGUAAAAAUCUCCUGUCUUCAACCCACCCCUUCAAGGUUUGAUUAGCUAGAUCUGGGCAUUCUUGGAAAGAUACAGCAGUGGCUACAAGGACAUAAUAAGACCAUAUUAUUAUUACAAAUACAGUAUUAAUUAAUAUCGGAGGAUGGGAUAAAGAGGGAGAAGACCAGUUAAGUAACUACGGAAGCCAUUGUGGAGAGAGGUAACAAUAACUGAGCCAGAGAAAUGGAAAUGGGGAAUGGACCCAAGAGCUAUGGCCGAGAGAGAAUCAAUAAUAUACAAUGUUUGGUUGAGUGGGGACAAGGAGGAGUCACUGGGUGGCUAGUAGAACCAC